This 89-nucleotide ribosomal RNA is filed under the name Carnobacterium maltaromaticum. Its description in RNAcentral is "partial 16S ribosomal RNA". It matches the Rfam family "Bacterial small subunit ribosomal RNA", at positions 1 to 91 of the family's 1533-position model. Lineage: Bacteria; Bacillati; Bacillota; Bacilli; Lactobacillales; Carnobacteriaceae. The record is from RNAcentral.
UUAUAUGAGAGUUUGAUCCUGGCUCAGGACGAACGCUGGCGGCGUGCCUAAUACAUGCAAGUCGAACGCACGAAGUUGAAGAGCUUGCU